Molecule: long non-coding RNA, 631 nt
Organism: Chenopodium quinoa (quinoa)
Lineage: Eukaryota; Viridiplantae; Streptophyta; Magnoliopsida; Caryophyllales; Amaranthaceae
Exons: 2
Source: RefSeq, a predicted model, not a curated record
UGUUCUUAAAAAAUCGGUCUCUAGACCGAACACCUUAGACCGCCUAUUCAAGUUAGGCGGUCUCUUGCUUUUUUUUUUCCAGCUUUUCACGCUACAAUUUUUUUUCUUUAUCAUUUUCUCUUUAAUUUCCUUUACCCCAACGGCCCAACCCACUCCUUUAUAGAAUUUUUUUAUCUCUCUCCUCCUUGAAAACGAAACCCUACCUUGCUUCCAGCCUCCAACCUUAGCUUCUUAUUCCUUCUCUUCCGCAACCAUCUCCCCCCUUUGCACUUCCAUUACUCACACUCACACUUCUUCACCCAUUCUCUAUCCUCAUCUUAGCCCUAAUACCGCAAACAUCUUCGCCGCCGCACACUCAUCACCACUUAUCACAUGCACGCAGCAUCGCCAGCUUGUCAUUCCCCUGCUUCAAAGAAUCGGUACAUUCUCUUUUGGUUCAAAGAAAUCAUUUUGACCGCUUCAUAUUCGAAGCUAAAGACAAAGAUCUACACGAAUGACUUGUUAAAAUUCACGAUGAAGAGGAUUAAGGAUUUUUUUUUUAAUAAUUACGGGUUUUGUAUAAGUUUGUACUCUGUAUCAGGUAUAAAAUUAAGAUGAUAAUUUUACAUGUAUAAAAAUCAAUUAUUUAUUU